AAGACUUGACAUCCUGCUGACGUAUUUUGUAAUGAAAUAUUCUCUUCGGAGCAGCAGAGACAGGUGGUGCAUGGUUGUCGUCAGCUCGUGUCGUGAGAUGUUGGGUUAAGUCCCGCAACGAGCGCAACCCCUAUAGUUAGUUGCCAUCAUUAAGUUGGGCACUCUAGCUAGACUGCCGGUGACAAACCGGAGGAAGGUAGGGAUGACGUCAAAUCAUCAUGCCCUUUAUGUCUUGGGCUACACACGUGCUACAAUGGCCAGUACAGAGGGCAGCGAAGGAGUGAUCCGGAGCGAACCCCACAAAGCUAGUCCCAGUUCGGAUUGUAGGCUGCAACUCGCCUAUAUGAAGUCGGAAUCGCUAGUAAUCGCAGGUCAGCAUACUGCGGUGAAUACGUUCCCGGGCC
Molecule: ribosomal RNA, 404 nt
Filed under: uncultured bacterium
Lineage: Bacteria
Description: bacterial SSU rRNA
Rfam family: Bacterial small subunit ribosomal RNA
Source: RNAcentral